GUAACGGUCACCGCAAGGUUUCUGGUGCUGACACCAGACAGACUUCCGCGGCUCGCUUGUCGAGCCGCACCCGGCAAAGCCGGAUUUGCUAACCCGCCGGUAUCGACACCGGC
Non-coding RNA from Pseudomonas fluorescens, 113 nucleotides. The record is from Rfam. NCBI's taxonomy places the organism in Bacteria, Pseudomonadati, Pseudomonadota, Gammaproteobacteria, Pseudomonadales, Pseudomonadaceae.